GACGAACGCUGGCGGCGUGCUUAACACAUGCCAGUCGAACGGAAAGGCCCUGCUUGCAGGGUACUCGAGUGGCGAACGGGUGAGUAACACGUGGGUGAUCUGCCCUGCACUUCGGGAUAAGCUUGGGAAACUGGGUCUAAUACCGGAUAGGACCGCACUUUAGUGUGUGUGGUGGAAAGUUUUUUCGGUGUAGGAUGAGCUCGCGGCCUAUCAGCUUGUUGGUGGGGUAAUGGCCUACCAAGGCGGCGACGGGUAGCCGGCCUGAGAGGGUGUACGGCCACAUUGGGACUGAGAUACGGCCCAGACUCCUACGGGAGGCAGCAGUGGGGAAUAUUGCACAAUGGGCGCAAGCCUGAUGCAGCGACGCCGCGUGGGGGAUGAAGGCCUUCGGGUUGUAAACUCCUUUCGCUAGGGACGAAGCUUUUUGUGACGGUACCUAGAUAAGAAGCACCGGCUAACUACGUG
RNAcentral lists this ribosomal RNA (465 nucleotides) under uncultured bacterium. RNAcentral's name for it is "partial 16S ribosomal RNA". It matches the Rfam family "Bacterial small subunit ribosomal RNA", at positions 28 to 507 of the family's 1533-position model. The record is from RNAcentral.